UACGUAGGGUGCGAGCGUUGUCCGGAAUUAUUGGGCGUAAAGAGCUUGUAGGCGGUUUGUCGCGUCUGCUGUGAAAUUUCGGGGCUCAACCCCGAGCCUGCAGUGGAUACGGGCAGACUAGAGGUAGGUAGGGGAGAAUGGAAUUCCCGGUGUAGCGGUGAAAUGCGCAGAUAUCGGGAGGAACACCGGUGGCGAAGGCGGUUCUCUGGGCCUUACCUGACGCUGAGGAGCGAAAGCGUGGGGAGCGAACAGG
Molecule: ribosomal RNA, 253 nt
Filed under: uncultured bacterium
Lineage: Bacteria
Description: partial 16S ribosomal RNA
Rfam family: Bacterial small subunit ribosomal RNA
Source: RNAcentral